RNAcentral lists this transfer RNA (73 nucleotides) under Stegodyphus mimosarum. It matches the Rfam family "tRNA". From Rfam's summary of the family: Transfer RNA (tRNA) molecules are approximately 80 nucleotides in length. Their secondary structure includes four short double-helical elements and three loops (D, anti-codon, and T loops). The record is from Rfam by way of RNAcentral. Lineage: Eukaryota; Metazoa; Arthropoda; Arachnida; Araneae; Eresidae.
GCCUUCAUGGUGAAAUAGUCAGCACGCUCGGCCCGUAUUCGAGAGGUCCGAGGUUAGAGUCCCGGCGAGAGCA